RNAcentral lists this ribosomal RNA (450 nucleotides) under uncultured bacterium. Its description in RNAcentral is "bacterial SSU rRNA". It matches the Rfam family "Bacterial small subunit ribosomal RNA", at positions 354 to 796 of the family's 1533-position model. The record is from RNAcentral.
GUGGGGAAUAUUGGACAAUGGGCGAAAGCCUGAUCCAGCCAUGCCGCGUGUGUGAAGAAGGUCUUCGGAUUGUAAAGCACUUUAAGUUGGGAGGAAGGGCAGUAAGUUAAUACCUUGCUGUUUUGACGUUACCGACAGAAUAAGCACCGGCUAACUUCGUGCCAGCAGCCGCGGUAAUACGAAGGGUGCAAGCGUUAAUCGGAAUUACUGGGCGUAAAGCGCGCGUAGGUGGUUUUGUAAGUUGGAGGUGAAAUCCCCGGGCUCAACCUGGGAACUGCCUCCAAAACUGCAUGACUAGAGUACGGUAGAGGGUAGUGGAAUUUCCUGUGUAGCGGUGAAAUGCGUAGAUAUAGGAAGGAACACCAGUGGCGAAGGCGACUACCUGGACUGAUACUGACACUGAGGUGCGAAAGCGUGGGGAGCAAAUGGGAUUAGAAACCCUGGUAGUCC